UGUGGGCAUGUGUCUGUGCCUGGGGGGGCACACACACACACACACACACACAUACACACACACGCAUACACACAC
RNAcentral lists this microRNA precursor (75 nucleotides) under Otolemur garnettii (small-eared galago). RNAcentral describes it as "miRNA (ENSOGAG00000034534.1)". The record is from RNAcentral. Lineage: Eukaryota; Metazoa; Chordata; Mammalia; Primates; Galagidae.